GACGAACGCUGGCGGCGUGCUUAACACAUGCAAGUCGAACGGUAAGGCUCCAGCUUGCUGGGGUACACGAGUGGCGAACGGGUGAGUAACACGUGGGUGACCUGCCCUGCACUUCGGGAUAAGCCUGGGAAACUGGGUCUAAUACCGGAUAGGACCAUGGUGUGGAUACUGUGGUGGAAAGUUUUUUCGGUGUGGGAUGGGCCCGCGGCCUAUCAGCUUGUUGGUGGGGUAAUGGCCUACCAAGGCGGCGACGGGUAGCCGGCCUGAGAGGGUGGACGGCCACAUUGGGACUGAGACACGGCCCAGACUCCUACGGGAGGCAGCAGUGGGGAAUAUUGCACAAUGGGCGGAAGCCUGAUGCAGCGACGCCGCGUGGGGGAUGACGGCCUUCGGGUUGUAAACUCCUUUCACCAUCGACAAAGGGUUUCUGACGGUAGAUGGAGAAGAAGCACCGGCUAACUACGUG
This 466-nucleotide ribosomal RNA is filed under the name uncultured bacterium. Its description in RNAcentral is "partial 16S ribosomal RNA". It matches the Rfam family "Bacterial small subunit ribosomal RNA", at positions 28 to 507 of the family's 1533-position model. The record is from RNAcentral.